This 525-nucleotide ribosomal RNA is filed under the name uncultured soil bacterium. Its description in RNAcentral is "bacterial SSU rRNA". It matches the Rfam family "Bacterial small subunit ribosomal RNA", at positions 16 to 528 of the family's 1533-position model. The record is from RNAcentral.
AUCAUGGCUCAGGACGAACGCUGACGGUGUGCUUUAGACAUGCAAGUCGAACGAGAAAGCCCUUCGGGGUGAGUAAAGUGGCGAACGGGUGAGUAACACGUGGGCAACCUGCCCCUCGCAGGGGGACAACCGGAGGAAACUCCGGCUAAUACCCCGUACGUUCUCAGGGUCGCAUGGCCCUGGGAGGAAAGGUAGCUUCGGCCAUCCGGCGAGGGAUGGGCCCGCGGUGCAUUAGCUAGUUGGUGGGGUAACGGCUCACCAAGGCAACGAUGCAUAGCUGGUCUGAGAGGAUGAUCAGCCACACUGGGACUGAGACACGGCCCAGACUCCUACGGGAGGCAGCAGCCAGGAAUCUUGGGCAAUGGGCGAAAGCCUGACCCAGCAACACCGUGUGGGCGAUGAAGGCCUUCGGGUCGUAAAGCCCUGUUGAUAGGGACGAAGGGCGAAGGGUUAAUAGCCCCUAGCCUGACGGUACCUUUCGAGGAAGCCCCGGCUAACUACGUGCCAGCAGCCGCGGUAAUACGU